CCUAAGAGAUACGUGUUAUGUGCAGUGCUCACACAGAUUGUCUGAUGAAGAACGAGCAAAAGCGCGUCUGCGAAGCUGACAAAAGUCCCCUUCGUCUAGAGGCCUAGGACACCGCCCUUUCACGGCGGUAACAGGGGUUCGAAUCCCCUAGGGGACGCCAAUGCGCGGUAUGAGUGAAAGGCGUACCACUUAUCCGACGAGAGUCAGAGAAUAACUAAGCUAAUUCAAACGAGUUAUCUUACUUAUUAUGCUCUUUAACAAUCUGGAACAAGCUGAAAAAUUGAAAACAAAUCAAUAUAUCAACGAGGUAUAUUGGUGAGUCUCUCAAAAUCUCAAACCUUAAAGUUUGUCACGCAAAGUUUAUCUUUGAAAGAGACACUUUCGGGUUGUGA
This 392-nucleotide unclassified non-coding RNA is filed under the name Proteus mirabilis. RNAcentral describes it as "partial 16S-23S ribosomal RNA intergenic spacer". The stretch from base 85 to 157 matches the Rfam family "tRNA". Lineage: Bacteria; Pseudomonadati; Pseudomonadota; Gammaproteobacteria; Enterobacterales; Morganellaceae. The record is from RNAcentral.